Molecule: ribosomal RNA, 494 nt
Filed under: uncultured bacterium
Lineage: Bacteria
Description: bacterial SSU rRNA
Rfam family: Bacterial small subunit ribosomal RNA
Source: RNAcentral
GAUGAACGCUAGCUACAGGCUUAACACAUGCAAGUCGAGGGGUCUCGCGGGAGCUUGCUCCCAAGAGACGACCGGCGCACGGGUGAGUAACGCGUAUCCAACCUGCCCUUCAUAUUGGGAUAGCCUUCCGAAAGGAAGAUUAAUACCGAAUAACAUAGAGUGGUUGCCUGAUUUCUCUAUGAAAGCUCCGGCGAUGAAGGAUGGGGAUGCGUUCCAUUAGGUAGUAGGCGGGGUAACGGCCCACCUAGCCAACGAUGGAUAGGGGUUCUGAGAGGAAGGUCCCCCACACUGGAACUGAGACACGGUCCAGACUCCUACGGGAGGCAGCAGUGAGGAAUAUUGGUCAAUGGGCGCAAGCCUGAACCAGCCAAGUAGCGUGAAGGAUGACUGCCCUAUGGGUUGUAAACGUGCUUUUGCGGGAGAAUAACCGGCGCCACGCGUGGCGCCCUGCAUGUAUCCGCGAAUAGGACCGGCUAAUUCCGUGCCAGCAGCCG